This 253-nucleotide ribosomal RNA is filed under the name uncultured bacterium. Its description in RNAcentral is "partial 16S ribosomal RNA". It matches the Rfam family "Bacterial small subunit ribosomal RNA", at positions 524 to 776 of the family's 1533-position model. The record is from RNAcentral.
UACGGGGGGGGCAAGCGUUACUCGGAAUUACUGGGUGUAAAGGGUUCGUAGGCGGUGUGGCAAGUCGGGAGUGAAAUCUCUAGGCUCAACCUAGGGUCUGCUUCCGAAACUGCUGUGCUUGAGUGUGGGAGAGGCGCGUGGAAUUGCAGGUGUAGCGGUGAAAUGCGUAGAUAUCUGCAGGAACACCCGUGGCGAAAGCGGCGCGCUGGACCACUACUGACGCUGAGGAACGAAAGCUAGGGGAGCAAACAGG